This 304-nucleotide ribosomal RNA is filed under the name uncultured bacterium. RNAcentral's name for it is "partial 16S ribosomal RNA". It matches the Rfam family "Bacterial small subunit ribosomal RNA", at positions 506 to 809 of the family's 1533-position model. The record is from RNAcentral.
CAGCAGCCGCCGCGGGAAUACGUAGGUGGCAAGCGUUGUCCGGAAUUAUUGGGCGUAAAGGGCUCGCAGGCGGUUUCUUAAGUCUGAUGUGAAAGCCCCCGGCUCAACCGGGGAGGGUCAUUGGAAACUGGGAAACUUGAGUGCAGAAGAGGAGAGUGGAAUUCCACGUGUAGCGGUGAAAUGCGUAGAGAUGUGGAGGAACACCAGUGGCGAAGGCGACUCUCUGGUCUGUAACUGACGCUGAGGAGCGAAAGCGUGGGGAGCGAACAGGAUUAGAUACCCGCGUAGUCCCUGUCCUUAUACA